This 781-nucleotide ribosomal RNA is filed under the name uncultured Aequorivita sp. Its description in RNAcentral is "bacterial SSU rRNA". It matches the Rfam family "Bacterial small subunit ribosomal RNA", at positions 47 to 827 of the family's 1533-position model. The record is from RNAcentral. Lineage: Bacteria; Pseudomonadati; Bacteroidota; Flavobacteriia; Flavobacteriales; Flavobacteriaceae.
CCUAACACAUGCAAGUGGAGGGGUAGGGGGAGCUUGCUCCCCUGAGACCGGCGCACGGGAGCGUAACGCGUAUGCAACCUACCUCGUACAGGGGGAUAGCCCAUGGAAACGUGGAUUAAUACCCCAUGGCAUAUGAUUGUAGCAUUACUAUCAUAUUAAAGAUUCAUCGGUACGAGAUGGGCAUGCGUCCCAUUAGCUAGUUGGUAUGGUAACGGCAUACCAAGGCUACGAUGGGUAGGGGCCCUGAGAGGGGGAUCCCCCACACUGGUACUGAGACACGGACCAGACUCCUACGGGAGGCAGCAGUGAGGAAUAUUGGACAAUGGGCGGAAGCCUGAUCCAGCCAUGCCGCGUGCAGGAAGACUGCCCUAUGGGUUGUAAACUGCUUUUAUACGGGAAGAAACACCCCCACGCGUUGGGGGCUUGACGGUACCGUAGGAAUAAGCAUCGGCUAACUCCGUGCCAGCAGCCGCGGUAAUACGGAGGAUGCAAGCGUUAUCCGGAAUCAUUGGGUUUAAAGGGUCCGUAGGUGGAUGAUUAAGUCAGGGGUGAAAUCCCGCGGCUCAACCGUGGAAUUGCCCUUGAUACUGGUUGUCUUGAGUCGUUGUGAAGUGGUUGGAAUAUGUAGUGUAGCGGUGAAAUGCAUAGAUAUUACAUAGAACACCUAUUGCGAAGGCAGGUCACUAACAACGCACUGACACUGAUGGACGAAAGCGUGGGGAGCGAACAGGAUUAGAUACCCUGGUAGUCCACGCCGUAACGAUGGAUGCUAGCUGUCCGG